Meleagris gallopavo (turkey) is the source of this 3378-nucleotide non-coding RNA. NCBI's taxonomy places the organism in Eukaryota, Metazoa, Chordata, Aves, Galliformes, Phasianidae. The record is from RefSeq and is a predicted model, not a curated record.
CAAACAAAUGUAGGUGAUGUCAGUGUGAAGGAGAGCUUCACGUUAAGCCUUCAUUGCCUGCAUUUAAAGACAAACAGCUGCCUGAGCUUCAGCUGGAGGAGGAAAAGGAAGACACCAUCAAGCAUGAAUGUUGAAUCUCUUCUGCUGGGAUAGAAAUAGAUAAUGGACCUGCCAGAUGGAAGAUCAAAUCUUGAAAGCAGAACUGAGAUCCAUAUCUCCACCUGAGAAAGCAAAAUACUGUAAAUAUAUACAUAUAAUAAUUUAAAAAAAUCAGAAUCUUGGACUUCCUUUCCAAAAUGCCAAGAGAGAGGCAUUCCUGUUGGAUUAAGCACUUCAGUGGCUAGUGUGUGCUUCAUGCCAUCACUACAGGGACUAUGGUGGUCUGGCACAUAGGAAUGUUGUUAAGGACAAGGCUGUCUAGUUGGGACCUCACAGGUGAAAUGGUGGUGUGGCAAGGCCAUACGCAGAAGUCAACUACGAGAAUUGCUGUCCCAAAGCAAUCCCACACUUCCUUAGAAAGCAAGGACUCAAACUCAGAAGUUUUUGGCUUUUCAAAGCGCUACAAGUAGCUCUCACCUGGUGCUUUAAUGAUGAACUGGUUGCUUGUGGUUGGCAUUCUGGCAUACGUGCAGCUGGACACAUACACAUGUAUACAUUUCACUAUUUUGCUCCAUGUACUUUGACCUUCAGCACUAAAGUAGGACUCUGUCUGCAGCAUUUAUGUCAAACCUGCUAUAUCUUCAUCACUCAUCAAGGCUUUGCAUCAGACAAAGAGGCUGUGUCACCUUUCCUCUCUUUCCUUCUGACUCUCCUUUCUAUCAUGAGCUUUUAGAGCUAUGAUAAACAGCAGAGAGCCAUAUACAGCAUAACGAUAACCCAGAUGACAAUGUCAAAUCUGCAUUCAUUCCAUGUGUGAGUGUUACUGAAGAAGAAGACACCAGGGAAGGGUGAUCAGAACUGGCAAGAAAAAAAAAAAGAAAGAAAGAAAGGAAAGAAAGGAAAAUAGAAAUAGAAUGAGGCUAACCCAAAUUCUAGUUAAAUAAGAAUUUAUGAAAACUCUACAUCAGAUUAGAGAGACACUUGAACCAAAACCAUAUUUUAAAAUACUCGUGGAAGACAGCUCAUUGCCUCAGAACAUGUUUUCAGUGGAAAAUCUCAUUGCCACAGUGUUUCUUGGUCUAGAGAGUUGCAGUUUGCAGGUUACUCCUCACUCAGUUACAUACUCACUUAUGUAAAAAGAUCAUUUACAAAAGGAGAGGAGGUUGUGCUUUUGGCAGCUUAAGUGGGCCUGCCCUUGAGAGACUUCCUGGAAUAUUGAUCUGCCCUUUUCUGGAAGACACUGGGAAAUGAAAAAGGAUCAAGAGAAGACAAUGGCAAUAAAAGGAAAGGACCAGCACUGUGAUCCCCAGAGGCAGAGACCCCAUGGUGUUUGAGAAGUGCCCCAGUGCAGCAGUGGGACUUCAUGGCCUACUGCCUUUUCCUCACUUUAGAGAAAAAGUGGAAGAACAGGACCCAGCUUACAAAUAAUCUAGGAAAAACUGGCUGAUCUGGACCUUAAUACAAUAAAAAACGGCUUAAGGGCAUGGACCAAUGUUGCAAAACAUGUCUGUGACAGAGCAGAUAGCUGCAUUCUAGUAUCCUUAUCUAUUAAAGGAUCCUCUGCUAUUGAAAUAUUCUUCCCAAGUGUAUCUAUAUAUAACUUGCAUAAUAACAGAUGCUAUUCUAGGGAAAGAAAUGUAAAUAAGUAAAUGAAUAAUAAAAGCAUAAGAAAUUACGUAAAUGGUUGUGAAAGGGAAUUGAAGUAACUGUAUAGAUAGCAGUGCGACCCUGGCUAGAAGAAGAAGACAAUAUUUCCUGUAAACAUGUUGUACUAUUGUGAAAACAAGCAGAAAAAUGUAGGGUUAUCAACAGAAAACCCCAAUGCUUAACAAUAGGGAAAAUUAGGAUAAAGUCACUUGAGAUCAUUAGGUCAUCCUCAUUAGAGAAGUUUAAAAUUACUUUUGAUUAAAUACAAGACAGAGCUCUAUGGAGGAGUUCUUACAUGCUAUCAAGACUAGAUCGAGAGAAGAAUCUGUAGUUUUGUGUGAACAAAGACAAAACUUCAUGUGAGAUAUUAAUUGUAUCUUUAUUCACAUGAAAUUCAAGUCCUGCAGAUACUGGCUCUGACUUGUCACCAAUAGGCUGGCCUGACAUUUUCAGGUUUGCUCCAGCACUCUCCUUUUUAUUUACACAAUAGAGAUUUCUUUCCUUCCUACAGUGUAUGUCCAUCUUUGAAGUUUUCAAUACUGGAGAGUUCGUUCUUCUGCUUAAAGGCUUGCAAUCUUUCCUUAUUUCAAGGUAACUCUCCAGAGGUAGGAGAGGAUGGACAUAAUGACUACGAGGUCCUCCCUCUGAUUGAAAACUGAUAGGAAAGAAUUUCUGUGCCUUUUCUAUCUCUUCAACAGACUUCAAAAUUUGUCUCCAGUCCUUCUUAAAAGAAUAAUGCCAUCAUAAUUUCUGCUCUAGCUCUUCUGUAGCUCGGUACAUCUACAGGUGGCACAGCACACAUUCAGCCCUCUAACCUGGCAUGGCAGUGGCAAAAAUUCACUGCACAAUAUUAAUUUAUCCUUCUGCUCUUGGCUUUCUACUUUCAGAGCCUCUGGGGAUAUUCUUCCCUAGGGUAGGGAGAGCAAGGACGCCAAGCAGCCUGGGGGAAGGCUAGUAUGACCUUGAUUUAGCAAUAGUGCAGCCAUGAGAUUUUUUGUGGUGGAGUUUGAAAUAUCUGUUAUUUUGCAUAGCAGAGAUAAAUUGCACUAAAAGGAAUGGGGAACAUGAUGGUAAUUAACAGAAAUGAAAAGAUUUAUCUGUCCAAGUUGAAAGAAGUAGCUGGCCAGUGAAGGAAUGGCUGUACGUCUGUUUGGAGGGUUGCAUAUCUCAGACGUGCUCUGCAGCUCACAAGCUGAAAUCACAGAAUCGUAGGGGUUGGAAGGGUCCUCUGAAAAUCAUCAAACCCACAACCCUGCAAAAGCAGGCUCCCUACAGUAGGUUGCACAGGUAGGUGUCCAGGCAGGUUUUGAGUAUCCCCAGAGGAGAUUCCACAACCUCUCUAUAGACAUCUAAACUCCCCAAACUACUUGAUCACUCAGCUACAACUCCUUGGGCAUUUCCAGUUGUGAUGGUGUCAGUACUGUUGCUAACACGGGUAGUGCAAAAGUUUUUCAGAGAUCCCAGAGCUGAAAGAUCCUUACCUGUAUUUCUAUUUUCCUUUCUGUGCUAAUAACAGCAGCUCUAUUCCUAAUAAAAAUAUUCAGAGUACUGUGUUACGUCUGUUUCUUAAAUUGUGAUCAUUAUGUGACUAAUCAUAAUAAUAAUAUGAUAUUAGGGAAAAAAAUGUUAGAA